RNAcentral lists this ribosomal RNA (465 nucleotides) under uncultured bacterium. RNAcentral's name for it is "partial 16S ribosomal RNA". It matches the Rfam family "Bacterial small subunit ribosomal RNA", at positions 338 to 795 of the family's 1533-position model. The record is from RNAcentral.
CCUACGGGUGGCUGCAGUAGGGAAUCUUGCACAAUGGGCGAAAGCCUGAUGGAGCAACGCCGCGUGGGUGAAGAAGGUCUUCGGAUCGUAAAACACUGUUGUUAGAGAAGAAAGUGCGUGAGAGUAACUGUUCACGUUUCGACGGUAUCUAACCAGAAAGCCACGGCUAACUACGUGCCAGCAGCCGCGGUAAUACGUAGGGGGCAAGCGUUAUCCGGAUUUAUUGGGCGUAAAGGGAACGCAGGCGGUCUUUUAAGUCUGAUGUGAAAGCCUUCGGCUUAACCGGGGUAGUGCAUUGGAAACUGGGAGACUUGAGUGCAGUAGAGGAGAGUGGAACUCCAGGUGUAGCGGUGAAAUGCGUAGAGAUGUGGAAGAACACCGGUGGCGAAGGCGGCUCUCUGGACUGUGACUGACGCUGAGGUUCGAAAGCGUGGGUAGCAAACAGGAUUAGAUACCCUUGUAGUC